ACUCUGAUGCAGCCAUGCCGCGUGAGGGAUGAAGGUCUUCGGAUUGUAAACCUCUGUCUUUGGGGAAGAUAAUGACGGUACCCAAGGAGGAAGCCACGGCUAACUACGUGCCAGCAGCCGCGGUAAU
RNAcentral lists this ribosomal RNA (127 nucleotides) under uncultured bacterium. Its description in RNAcentral is "partial 16S ribosomal RNA". It matches the Rfam family "Bacterial small subunit ribosomal RNA", at positions 380 to 524 of the family's 1533-position model. The record is from RNAcentral.